UAUUGCACAAUGGGGGAAACCCUGAUGCAGCGACGCUGCGUGAAGGAAGAAGUAUCUCGGUANGUAAACUUCUAUCAGCAGGGAANNAANNNANGGUACCUGACUAAGAAGCCCCGGCUAACUACGUGCCNGCAGCCGCGGUAAUACGUAGGGGGCAAGCGUUAUCCGGAUUUACUGGGCGUAAAGGGAGCGUAGACGGAUCUGCAAGUCUGGAGUGAAAGCCCGGGGCUCAACCCCGGGACUGCUUUGGAAACUGUGGAUCUAGAGUGCCGGAGAGGCAAGCGGAAUUCCUAGUGUAGCGGUGAAAUGCGUAGAUAUUAGGAGGAACACCAGUGGCGAAGGCGGCUUACUGGACGGUAACUGACGUUGAGGCUCGAAAGCGUGGGGAGCAAA
RNAcentral lists this ribosomal RNA (393 nucleotides) under uncultured bacterium. RNAcentral describes it as "partial 16S ribosomal RNA". It matches the Rfam family "Bacterial small subunit ribosomal RNA", at positions 362 to 772 of the family's 1533-position model. The record is from RNAcentral.